This 429-nucleotide long non-coding RNA is filed under the name Triticum aestivum (bread wheat). RNAcentral describes it as "long non-coding RNA (TAES_LNC022249)". Lineage: Eukaryota; Viridiplantae; Streptophyta; Magnoliopsida; Poales; Poaceae. The record is from RNAcentral.
CAUAUACUACCACCGCUACCAUAUACCACCACCAUAUAUCCACCACCAAUCCGAGUUCCUUGCAUAUUAGGUUUGUUUUCGGGAUCCAUCUAAUUUCCGAUUCGUGUUUCCUUGUCUGAGUAGGUUUCGGAUUCCAGCAAUCUUUUGCCGUCCGUAGAAGAGGUUGGUUUCCAAAAAAAAAGAGUCCGGAAACCACCCUCCGUUUAGGCCCAAAAUUUUCCAAAAACGCACGGGACAAAAAAAUUUCUGGCUAUCCUAUUUUUAGGUGCUUCUAAGCGUAUUGAGCCAGUCGCCGUUAUAGAAAGUUUUUUUGACCCGUUUCCAGUUUUUGGGUCCAGGCAGUCGAAAAAAAAAAUUUGGUCAAAAAAAUUUUGAGCCCAUCCUGUCAGUUUGACCUGGGAAGAGUUUUGAGACACUCGCCAUUAUAGU